This 1839-nucleotide small RNA is filed under the name Pan troglodytes (chimpanzee). Its description in RNAcentral is "retained intron". The record is from RNAcentral. Lineage: Eukaryota; Metazoa; Chordata; Mammalia; Primates; Hominidae.
CUUUUUUAAAAAAAGAGGGGGGAAAUCCCAGUGGUGGGCAGCCUGGCACGCACACACUCGCCCUCAUACCCCGACAAAAGCAGAUGCACUUUGACUUCUGACAGCUCUACCUCAAGCGCCGGAGAACUCAGCGGCGCUUUCCUCGCAACCCGAGCUCGGCAAGUCGUCUUCUUCUUCUUCUCCGUUUUUAUUUAUUUAUUUCCGUUCCCGCCGCCGUUCUCGCUGACCUUCACUCCUCCGCGGGCUCUGAGCAGAAGGGUCGCAUUCUCUCCCGCCUGAGACUUCUUUUCCUCGCCCCGGGAGCUCAGGCGGCGCCGCUCCAGCCCGGGGCCCCAGGACUCCCCGGCUGCACACUUCACUGAGACACCCCCCAGGCCCCGAUCAGCCUCGUUUCCUCCACCCUACUUUGAUUUCCUGGUGCGAGUUUUGGCUUGCACGGCCGAGUGUGUGUCCUCUUUUUGGAGAGACUGGGGAGCUCGUGCCGGUUGUCUUCAGGAGUCAUCCCCUGGGCUCUACUUUGCCCCUCUCUCUCUCUGGGCCUCAUCAGACCAAACCAAAGACCAUGGUUCACUGUGCCGGCUGCAAAAGGCCCAUCCUGGACCGCUUUCUCUUGAACGUGCUGGACAGGGCCUGGCACGUCAAGUGCGUCCAGUGCUGUGAAUGUAAAUGCAACCUGACCGAGAAGUGCUUCUCCAGGGAAGGCAAACUGUACUGCAAGAACGACUUCUUCCGGUGUUUCGGUACCAAAUGCGCAGGCUGCGCGCAGGGCAUCUCCCCUAGCGACCUGGUGCGGAGAGCGCGGAGCAAAGUGUUUCACCUGAACUGCUUCACCUGCAUGAUGUGUAACAAGCAGCUCUCCACUGGCGAGGAACUCUACAUCAUCGACGAGAAUAAGUUCGUCUGCAAAGAGGAUUACCUAAGUAACAGCAGUGUUGCCAAAGAGAACAGCCUUCACUCGGACCCGUCGCAGGACGACGCCAAGGACUCGGAGAGCGCCAACGUGUCGGACAAGGAAGGGGGUAGCAACGAGAAUGACGACCAGAACCUGGGCGCCAAGCGGCGGGGACCGCGCACCACCAUCAAAGCCAAGCAGCUGGAGACGCUGAAGGCCGCCUUCGCUGCUACACCCAAGCCCACCCGCCACAUCCGCGAGCAGCUGGCGCAGGAGACCGGCCUCAACAUGCGCGUCAUUCAGGUCAGGCCCCGGCGCGCCUCUCCAUCCCAUAGAGGCCCACACUGCCACUUUGGGCACCCAGGCCGAGCCGGGAGAGCCCAGAAUCCAGAGAGAAGUGAGAGAUGGAGUCCAGAGGUGGGGUGCCUAGACACACCCCGAGCCUGCGGGACCUAUGAAAUGCCUGAUGCCUUCGAGCAUCUAGAAAGUCCUCUUCCCAGCCCAACAGAGGUGAUCGUGGCAGUGGAGGGGGAGGGACGGGAGUUCAGCCAGAGGCUGGAGGAGGAGAACUGUUGAACACUCUGGAGAGAGUGGGGAGCCCUCUUUCUGCACAUACCCCACCCCACCUCGGGUUCGGAAGGGUCAGAGAAGUCUCAGUGUCCCCCAGAGUCAAUCAGUCCCUCUGCCUUCUGCACAAAGUGAACUCUUCCUAAGUCUGCAACUCCAACUUUGUGAUCGCUUGCUCCAAUUAGACAAGCCCCAGAUCAGGGACUUCCCCUCCAAAGAGAGGUGGUUCCGCCGGGAGUCAGCUCUGCUUCCAGCGGGUUGGAGUGAAAUUUGGGGAUGGGAGCCUACCUGGAGGCAGCUGGGCCUGUGGGCGGAAAGGAGAUGAGACUGCUGAAGCUCCAGGCCAGGGGGAGUCUCUGGCUCAGUGCCAGGUUCCCGGU